AUUGAACGCUGGCGGCAGGCCUAAUACAUGCAAGUCGAGCGGAUGAAGGGAGCUUGCUCCUGGAUUCAGCGGCGGACGGGUGAGUAAUGCCUAGGAAUCUGCCUGGUAGUGGGGGAUAACGUCCGGAAACGGGCGCUAAUACCGCAUACGUCCUGAGGGAGAAAGUGGGGGAUCUUCGGACCUCACGCUAUCAGAUGAGCCUAGGUCGGAUUAGCUAGUUGGUGGGGUAAAGGCCUACCAAGGCGACGAUCCGUAACUGGUCUGAGAGGAUGAUCAGUCACACUGGAACUGAGACACGGUCCCGACUCCUACGGGAGGCAGCAGUGGGGAAUAUUGGACAAUGGGCGAAAGCCUGAUCCAGCCAUGCCGCGUGUGUGAAGAAGGUCUUCGGAUUGUAAAGAACUUUAAGUUGGGAGGAAGGGCAGUAAGUUAAUACCUUGCUGUUUUGACGUUACCAACAGAAUAAGCACCGGCUAACUUCGUG
This 484-nucleotide ribosomal RNA is filed under the name uncultured bacterium. RNAcentral's name for it is "partial 16S ribosomal RNA". It matches the Rfam family "Bacterial small subunit ribosomal RNA", at positions 30 to 507 of the family's 1533-position model. The record is from RNAcentral.